This 497-nucleotide ribosomal RNA is filed under the name uncultured bacterium. RNAcentral's name for it is "partial 16S ribosomal RNA". It matches the Rfam family "Bacterial small subunit ribosomal RNA", at positions 28 to 507 of the family's 1533-position model. The record is from RNAcentral.
GAUGAACGCUGGCGGCGUGCCUAAUACAUGCAAGUCGAGCGAACAGACGAGGAGCUUGCUCCUCUGACGUUAGCGGCGGACGGGUGAGUAACACGUGGAUAACCUACCUAUAAGACUGGGAUAACUUCGGGAAACCGGAGCUAAUACCGGAUAAUAUAUUGAACCGCAUGGUUCAAUAGUGAAAGACGGUUUUGCUGUCACAUAUAGAUGGAUCCGCGCCGCAUUAGCUAGUUGGUAAGGUAACGGCUUACCAAGGCAACGAUGCGUAGCCGACCUGAGAGGGUGAUCGGCCACACUGGAACUGAGACACGGUCCAGACUCCUACGGGAGGCAGCAGUAGGGAAUCUUCCGCAAGGGGCGAAAGCCUGACGGAGCAACGCCGCGUGAGUGAUGAAGGUCUUCGGAUCGUAAAACUCUGUUAUUAGGGAAGAACAAAUGUGUAAGUAACUAUGCACGUCUUGACGGUACCUAAUCAGAAAGCCACGGCUAACUACGUG